UACAACUCUGAGCGGUGGAUCACUCGGCUCGUGUGUCGAUGAAGAGUGCAGCCAACUGUGUGAAUUAAUGUGACCUGCAUACUGCUUUGAACAUCGACCUCUUGAACGCAUAUUGCGGCCGCAGAUAUCCUGUGGCCACGCCUGGCCGAGGGUCGGCUU
This 159-nucleotide ribosomal RNA is filed under the name Clinostomum complanatum. Its description in RNAcentral is "5.8S ribosomal RNA". It matches the Rfam family "5.8S ribosomal RNA". Rfam says of the family: 5.8S ribosomal RNA (5.8S rRNA) is a component of the large subunit of the eukaryotic ribosome. It is transcribed by RNA polymerase I as part of the 45S precursor that also contains 18S and 28S rRNA. Lineage: Eukaryota; Metazoa; Platyhelminthes; Trematoda; Strigeidida; Clinostomidae. The record is from RNAcentral.